GUCCUUUUGAAUANUAANUUUAAGGUCUAGCCUGCCCAAUGNANNAUUANUUUAAUGGCUGCGGNNUAUUUUGACUGUACGAAGGUAGCAUAAUAAUUAGUUUUUUAAUUGAAAGCUGGUAUGAAUGGCUGAACGAGAAAAUUACUGUCUCAAAUUNAAANCUUUUAGAAUUUUAUUUUUAAGUUAAAAAGCUUAAAUAUUUUUAAAAGACGAGAAGACCCUAUAGAGUUUNUAUAAUUUAUUUANAUUNNUUNAUNUUUUAGNAAAANUNNNUAAUAAUUNAAGUAAAUUAUUUUAUUGGGGUGAUAAAUAUAUUUAAUAAACUUUAUUNUAAANUUUAUACAUAAAUUUAUGAAUUAUUGAUCCAUUAUUNUAUGAUUAUCAGAUAAAAUUACCUUAGGGAUAACAGCGUAAUCUUUUUAAAGAGUUCUUAUCGAAAAAAGGGAUUGCGACCUCGAUGUUGGAUUAAAAUUAAUAUUUGGUGUAGAAGCUNAANAUUAUUAGGUCUGUUCGACCUUUAAAAUUUUACAUGAUCUGAGUUUAAACCGGUAUGAGCCAGGUUGGUUUCUAUCUUUAAAUA
This 580-nucleotide ribosomal RNA is filed under the name Parhydraena namaqua. RNAcentral describes it as "partial large subunit ribosomal RNA". It matches the Rfam family "Bacterial large subunit ribosomal RNA", at positions 1819 to 2650 of the family's 2925-position model. Lineage: Eukaryota; Metazoa; Arthropoda; Insecta; Coleoptera; Hydraenidae. The record is from RNAcentral.